AAAAACUGGUCUGAUCUGAGGGGAUGGGGCAUGGAAUAUACUUUCCUGGAGGGGUAAAUAUCUCCUCUCCUUGUUUUUAUUGUCCGGCAUUUUCUCAUCUCUUCUAUUUAUUCUUCCACAUGAGCUCUGCCUUCAUCCAGGGAAGUUCUAGCAGAUGACUCCGUUGGGAUUUGGCCUGGAAUUGCGUAAAACCUGGGAAUGGCUGUGAAAGGAGUGGGUGCAUCGCCACGCUCCCUGCUGUCAGCUGCAGACGUGGCCCGUUUUUAUCUAUCCGCCCCUGUGCGCAUGUGUGAUCUCUCUCCAGCCCCUGAAUUGUCUUACGCUGGCAAAGCUGCACUGGCUUUGUCCUCAGCCUGCUCCGGGGCUGUCGGGUUCCUGCGACCAGGCCUGGGCCAUUCGCAGUCUAACUGUGGUUUUCAUUUUGUUUCACUUGCACGCACGGUUUCUGCGGCACUGGAGAUUGAACUCGGCCCCUGGCACACGAGGAAGCCCUCCUCCACUGAGCAACCCCGAGUCCUUCCCCAGUGUUGAGACCUUGCUCCCACAUCUCCCACUGUCAGAUGCGGGAGAGGGUCACAGCCGCCCCGGGACUCCAGUGUUCGCUGUGGCCCCGACAUUCCGGCCCGGAGAGCAGACUAAGGGCGGGGCCCUCGCCUGCAGGGCCUCGUGUUGACACAGGAAAUGGCAGUCUGGUUCCUCUUCCGGAGGGCAGGGUGGGGGCACCUCUACCCUGCUAUCGGCAAGUGACAUCUGUGAGGUUUACUGUCAGCAGCAAACCGAAGGCAUCGCUGGGCUGGGAGAUGCAGUGCGGUCGGGAAGAGACAGGACUGCGGCCGUGGGGAGAGCGGAGUGGUGCCAGCGUGUGGCAUUUCUGCUCUUCUCUCUCGAGUCAUCUGGGGUCCUUGGCUUUGGGCGGCGUCUUCUCCCGUCAUACUUGGAAGAAGCAAUGCAUCUUCAAGAGACUUCAAAUUGGAGACAGUGAAGUUUCCUCGAAUUCCUCUGCCACCGGAAGCUACCCGCUCCCCACCCCAGCCUCGAGUCACCCCGCCAGCACCCUGUAGACCCCAAUCCACUGGGUACCUCAGGGCGGGUGGGCACACACACACACACUGUGCGUGUGUGUGUGCUGGCAACUUCCUUUCCUUUGCUGUCCUCACAAAUAGUGUCGAGCCACACACAUCAUUCUGCAAGUUGUUUUUGUCAUUUGUCCAUAAAUUUUGGAUUUUUCCCUUUUUCUUUCCUGGUGCUGGGCUGGAACCACUCAGCUGCAUCCCUAUCUUGGAUAUUUUUUUCCUAACAGGAUAUAAAGUAUUUCUUCAUGGUUAUAUUAAAGCUGCAAGUAUUUUAUUAUA
This is a long non-coding RNA of Chinchilla lanigera (long-tailed chinchilla), 1352 nucleotides long. RefSeq lists it as uncharacterized. The transcript has 2 exons. The record is from RefSeq and is a predicted model, not a curated record. NCBI's taxonomy places the organism in Eukaryota, Metazoa, Chordata, Mammalia, Rodentia, Chinchillidae.